This 6220-nucleotide long non-coding RNA is filed under the name Solanum tuberosum (potato). Its description in RNAcentral is "long non-coding RNA (STUB_LNC003383)". Lineage: Eukaryota; Viridiplantae; Streptophyta; Magnoliopsida; Solanales; Solanaceae. The record is from RNAcentral.
CUCUUUUGUUUCUCUUUGAAGACUCUUGUUGACUCAUGACUAUCCAAAUCUGUGUAAAAAUAAGACAAAAGAAGCUUCUUAGUGCAAAAUUUUCAAAUGUGAAGAACAAAAACAAUGAAAGUGAGAAGAACAAACAACAAUAGGAUCAGUAGCUGAAGCAUAUUAUCAAGAAUAAUUCUCCUCUUGUUUCUUAUUUGAAAAAAAUUGCUGGUCAAGAAAUCACUUUUCAACCAUCCAACAAGGAAAAUUCUAGCUCAGGGAAGAUGAAUAACAAGCAAUGGAUUCGAGCUGAAGUUGAUUAACUAAUUUAUAUCUUAACUAGUUUGAAAUCUAACUUUCGAGAGCCUGCUACUCAAUGGGAUUUUAGAGAAAUGGCAGAAGAUGCAAAGAGAAGUAUAACAAAGCAAUAAACAAAGAAUCUUAAUUACUAAUAUAUCUAUAGUACGUACCAACAUUAGCAAGAAAAUAUUCCAGAACAAAUAAGCAGAAAUCAAACAACUAGCAGUAGCAAAUAGGCAGGAAUCCAAAUAGAGUCCAAUCGACAUUCAUACUUUAUAUGAUGCAACUCAAAAAGGUAUUUAUUACUCACUANNNNNNNNNNNNNNNNNNNNNNNNNNNNNNNNNNNNNNNNNNNNNNNNNNNNNNNNNNNNNNNNNNNNNNNNNNNNNNNNNNNNNNNNNNNNNNNNNNNNNNNNNNNNNNNNNNNNNNNNNNNNNNNNNNNNNNNNNNNNNNNNNNNNNNNNNNNNNNNNNNNNNNNNNNNNNNNNNNNNNNNNNNAGGCAGAUCAAUGAUAUCAACAGGGAGAUCUUCUCUCGACCAUCUAACAUCUACAUCGAGCACUCUUUCUGAUGAACCAAUGUCAUCAUUAGUCUCUCGCCAAAAUGUUUCUUCAAUAUUAGGACAAUUCUCUUCCUCCAAAUCAUACAAAUCCACUGGGACUUUAUUUCUUGCAUAAUAUACAUUUUUCUCAAUUGGGUCUUCCACAUAAAAAACUUGAUGCACUUGAGAUGCUAGUACAAAAGGAUCAUUUGUGCUGCAUAUUUUAUUGAAGUAUACCCGAGUCAAUCCAUAUUCAUCAACUUCAUUAUGAAACCAAUCACAUCUAAAAAGUACAACACUAAAGCAACACCAAUAAUCAAUCUCAAUGAUAUCCUGAAUAAUUCCGUAAUAGAUAACCAUUCCAUCAAUAGGAUUUUGGUCCCUAGCACUAGCAAAACUAUCUGUUGUUGCUGACAAAGUCACUCCACUAUUUUGAGUCUUGCAAGGAUCAUCCCGUGUCUUUGUAUGAAAUCUAUAUCCAUUAAUAAAAUAUCCAGUAUAUCUUUUAGCCACAAAAUUAGGCCCUUUAGCUAGCCAUCUUAAGUGAUUGGACACUUCAAUAUUUUUAACUUUAUCCCUAAACCAAUCACUGAAUUCUCUACUAUGGAUCUGUGCUUUUACCCAUGCAUUUCCUCUGGUACGAUUAUCAAUUAAAUUCUUAUGUUCCCUGCAAGCAUGAUAUGCAAUUUAAACAAUGUAUAUUUAUUAAUGGAAUUUAAAACACAUUAUCAUAACAUAUAAAUGAUUUUUAAAAACAAAUGACUAUUUUAUCUUACUUUAUGAAUGUCUCUACUUUUUCAUCUCCAGUAUUGAACAAAGCAUAUCGAUGAGCUUCAAACCACUCAUGAUGCUCCAUGUUAAAAGUCUUUCCUUUCCUAUUAUUCAUACUUCCGAUUGGAUGACCUGUCUUAGGAAAUAAAGGUGAAGCAUCUCUUUCCUCUGUUUGAUUGUCCUCAUCAUCCUCGGUUUGAUACCUACUAAAAUGUUGUCUUCACUAUAUCAGGUAGGUAUCUCGAAAUAAAGGUCAAACACUCUAUAGCUGAAAAAACCCUCUACUAUUGCCCCUUCUGGAUUUUUUCGAUUACGAACAAGCCCCUUGAAGUCACACAUAGUUCUUUCAGUAGAAUACAUCCAACGCAAAUGAGUCGGGCCUCCAAGCUUAAUUUCAUCCACUAAAUGAAUAGGCAAAUGUGUCAUUAUAUCAAAAAAGGAUGGAGGAAAAAUCUUUUCAAGCUCACAUUCUAUAUCUAUGAUUUCAUCCUUCAUCUUCUCAAGAUCACUUCUUCUUAUAACCUUACUACAUAUGGCUCUAAAAUAAUUUCCCAACCUAAUCAAGACCAAAGACACAUUCUUGGGCAACACUUUUCUGACAGCAAUCUGGAGCAAGUAAUGUAAUAUGAAAUGAGCAUCAUGGUUUUUGUAUCCUGAUACUUUCAUAUCUUCAAUUUGCACACGACUUGAUAUAUUAGAGGCAAAUUCUUUUGGUAAUUUGGCAUCUUUUAAAACAGUGCAAAAUAAUCUUUUCUCCUCUGGUUUCAUAGAGAAACAAGCUUUAGCCAAAUGAAUAUUUCCAGUAUCAUAAUCUUUUACUGGUUGAAGCUCUUUGCGUAUCCCCAUCUCAUGUAAGUCAUAGCGAGAGUUUAUAUGAUCUUUGGACUUUCCAAGUAUAUCCAAUAAAGUCCCAAGCAAAGUGUCACAAAUAUUCUUCUCUAUGUGCAUCACAUCAAGAUUGUGCCUCAAUUUGUUGGUUGCCCAAUACGGCAACUCAAAAAAUAUGGAUUUUUUUCCAUGGACCAUCAUUCUUUCGUUUUCUUUUCUUUUGGCUCUUUCCAAAAACAUUAUUGAAUUCACGAAGUUCUUCAAGAACUUGUACGCCUGAUAAGGGAGUAGGUGCAACUUUAUGCUCUUCUUUACCAUUAAAGGAUUUUUUAUCUCUUCUAUAUGGAUGAUCAUGAGGUAAAAAUGCUCGAUGACCCAUAUAACACAUCUUACGACUAUGUUUGAGAUAUUGGGAACAAGUAUUGUGAUUACAAGUGGGGCAUGCCCAUUUCCCCUUGGUACUCCAUCCGGAAAGCAUUGCCAAUGCUGGAAAAUCACUAAUUGUCCACAAUAAAGCUGCACGCAUCAUAAAUGUUUUGAUUAGUUACAACAUCAUAUGUUUCCACUCCCACUUCCCAUAGUUCCUUCAACUCUGCAAUCAGUGGUUGUAAGUAUACAUCUAUAUCAUUUCCAGGAGACGAUGGACCUGGAAUAAUCAUUGACAACAUUAUAUACUCCGACUUCAUGCAAAUCCACGGUGAUAAGUUAUAAUUCAUCAACAUAACUGGCCAUGUGCUAUGGGAAAUGCUCAUAGUUCGGAAUGGAUUAAAACCAUCGCUUGAAAGACCCAAUCUAACAUUAUGAGCAUCACUAGCAAAGUCAGGGUGCAAGGAAUCAAAAUCCUUCCAAGCUUCCCCAUCAGCAGGAUGUCUUAAAUUUCCAUCUUUGGGUCGUUCAGUAUCAUGCCAUCUCAUAGCUACAGAUGUUUCAAAACACAUGAAUAUCCUCUGAAGCCUAGGUUUUAAAGGAAAGUACCUUAAAACCUUUGCUGGAAUUUUAGUGACCUUAUUAGUCAAGUCAUCACGAACAUUCUUCCAUCUAGAAGAUCCACACACUGAGCACUUGUCUAACUUUGCAGUGUCAUUCCAGAAUAACAUGCAAUCGUUAGUACAUGCAUGAAUUUUUUCAUAAUGAAGACCCAAAUCUUUUAUCACCUUUUUUGCCUUGUAGAAAGACUCGGGUAUCUGAGCAAAGGGAAAUGCCUCUUUUAUCAAGUCUAACAAAUCUGAAAAGGCUACAUUACUCAACUUGUGAAUGCAUUUAAACAAGUAUAACCGAAUGGUGAAAUUCAACUUAGAAAAGUUCUUACACCUUGGAUACAACUCUUGUUUCCCUUCUUCCACUAAUUUAAAGAAUCUUUUUGCAUCUUCAGAUAGUCCCUCUCUUACUCCUUCAUGCCUCAGGUCAUCUGCUACAUUUCUAAAAGUAUCUAGAAGUAGUUUAUCAAUACCGUCUUGUCUGCCGAAUGUUUCAUCAUCAUUGGUUGGAUGUGGCGUAUUUCUUGAGGAAAACCCUUCUUCAUGGAAAACCCAUUUGGUGUAUCCAUGAACAAACCCAUAACAAAUCAAGUGAUCCUCUACCACAUUUCGACAAUGCCAAUAACGAUUAAAGCACUUUUUACAAGGACAUAAUAUUUCAUCUCCUUGGGAAGCUCGUUCAAAUGCCUUAUCUAGGAAAUCAUUAACUCCAUGAAUAUACUCAUCGGUGGAUCUUCGGAGAUCCAUCCAACUUUUAUCUCCAACAUCCAUUGGAUAUCCUAUGUUACAUGAGCAAAACAUUCAACAAAACAAUUCAUGAGUACAAAUCAUGAUUGUAAAUGAUCUAAUAUAGGUCAUUAGGUAGUGCAAUUUAGUUACAUAACCUAUAUUUUACUUGAAAGUUUAAUUCCUCAAUUUAUUCUAUAGUACAUUGCAGGUACUGCCUUACAACACAGAAAAAAUGACAGAUUAUGGUGACUACUUUGUUUCUUUUCAAGAUCACUUGAGCUGACCUUCAAGUUGGUUAUGCUUUAAGUCUGAGUACAUUUAGAUUAAUUCUAAACAAAAAAACAACAUGAUUGCAUAAAGUGUGCUGUGAGGACAAAUUUAGCAUUUGAUUUAAGUUGCCUUUAGCUUGAGAAUUUGAGAAGCAUCUAUGCACCUUUUUUGCUUUUCACUGAAAGGUAUAGCUCAUGAUUGUAUAAUUGUAUUCAUAUAUUUUACAUUCUACUGCAGCGAUAGCAAUAUUCCAGCUUUGUUCAUCCAAAAUACUUGAUGAAGAAGUUGAAUCUAUCUAGCGAAAAUGAGGUAAUUAUCUUUUGUUUUGGCAGUUUAGCAAUCAAUAAAUGUUAUUCACAUUUCCUGUAAUUCAUUAUUCUGUGGGUUGAAAAAAUUUAUGCAAGGGCAUGAUUUCCUGUAAUUCAUUAUUCUGUUGAGUGUAAUGUUGCUCCUGUCAAAUUUAGAACUUGGUUUUCAAGAAAUGUCCUGAUGAGAACAUUUUAGAUCACUUUAAACUAUUAACCAAACAGCAGUACAUAUGAAAGUAUCCCAGGGUAGUACAUAUCCUAGAGCUAAUGAGCAAGAGUAUAAUUGAUAUAACAGAGGGCACUACAUCUUUACUGCAUCUACUACAUAUUCAUUCACAACAACUACGAUAAUAUUAGGUGAACUCACUAGGUUGAGGAAAGGAGAAAUGAUCUGGAACACUAUUAUGCUGCAUAGACAAAGAGUUAUAUUAUGCUUGGCCUAUUUAGAACAAGUUGCUAGCAAAGUUCCGGCAACAAAAAUAAAAUGCUCCACUUAAAGGGAAUGUGAAGUUUCUAUACCUUGGAGGAUAGAGAUGUCGAAAACGUACUUCUUAUCAGCCAUAAAACUACAGAAAUCACAAUGGUCAUAAAGUGAUGAAACAGAUGCAUACAUUGUGGUUUUCCAGAACAUGGAAGCUUAGGAACAUAAAAUUUUUCCAACACAUAAAUAAACAUACUAGAAUAGUCAUUACGUAGAUAAUAUUAAAAAUUAAAAGAGAAAACAUGAGCAAUAGGUUUCAACAUCCAAAAUCCAAUAAAAUGGAGUUUUCACCAAUUAUUUUAUAUAUAUUCCACAUCAGUUUAAAACAUAUUUUGUUCAACUUAAACGUAUCAUCUAUGACAGUAGCUAUAUCAGUAUACUUUGGCAACAUUCAUAAUGAUAAGCAAAUCAAAAUACUUCAAACUUUAGACCAAUGAAAGUUUUUAGUUCACAUAAAUAGACCAAACUCAUAAUGCAAAUCAAAAUACUCAAAGCCCUAGGACAAAAUCAACUACAAAACAUUAGUUGUUCUAUAAAAACGAAACCCAACUUCACAAUGAUUUUUCACAGAGUUAUCGAAUCUUCAAAAAAUUUGAGUUACAAACUCUAAACUACAAAUGGAUUAUGUCAAAUAGACCUAAAUCAGAACAAAUAACAUACAUUUCAACAAACCCAUUUGUUAUUCUUUAAAAUUUUUUAGAAGCCCUUAAAUGGAAUUUCUGAUUUUGGAAAAUAGUACAUGUAUAACCAAAUAGAGACAAUGAGGACUUAGAAAUCACCUUAAAAACAGUAUUCCUUUAUCUGCAGAAGCUUAAUUUUGAAUAAGACUACUUUUGGAGAAGAAGACCACUGAAGAUGAACACUUCACACUGGAGAAGAAGACCACUGUAGCUUAUCACUGAAACUGAUUUCUUCACCGGAGCUCAAAAUUUGCUGUCGAAGAUGAAGGAGUCACCGAAGUUCUGGAAUUUUAGGGCUUUAAUUUUGAUUAUUGGAGAAGAAGACCAUGCACUCAUCGCUUUGAUUUUGGUUUAUUG